AUCAGCACGAGCCAACGGUGUAAAACACCGUC
RNAcentral lists this small RNA (32 nucleotides) under Bombyx mori (domestic silkworm). Its description in RNAcentral is "ovarian small RNA-12425". Lineage: Eukaryota; Metazoa; Arthropoda; Insecta; Lepidoptera; Bombycidae. The record is from RNAcentral.